RNAcentral lists this ribosomal RNA (397 nucleotides) under uncultured bacterium. RNAcentral describes it as "partial 16S ribosomal RNA". It matches the Rfam family "Bacterial small subunit ribosomal RNA", at positions 523 to 918 of the family's 1533-position model. The record is from RNAcentral.
AUACGUAGGGGGCGAGCGUUGUCCGGAAUGAUUGGGCGUAAAGGGCGCGUAGGCGGCCUGUUAAGUCUGGAGUGAAAGUCCUGUUUUCAAGAUGGGAAUUGCUUUGGAAACUGUUAUUCUUGAGUAUCGGAGAGGCAGGCGGAAUUCCUAGUGUAGCGGGGAAAUGCGUAGAUAUUAGGAGGAACACCAGUGGCGAAGGCGGCCUGCUGGACGACAACUGACGCUGAGGCGCGAAAGCGUGGGGAGCAAACAGGAUUAGAUACCCUGGUAGUCCACGCUGUAAACGAUGAAUACUAGGUGUAGGAGGUAUCGACUCCUUCUGUGCCGAAGCAAACGCAUUAAGUAUUCCACCUGGGGAGUACGGCCGCAAGGUUAAAACUUAAAGGAAUUGACGGGG